Molecule: non-coding RNA, 87 nt
Organism: Gossypium raimondii (Peruvian cotton)
Lineage: Eukaryota; Viridiplantae; Streptophyta; Magnoliopsida; Malvales; Malvaceae
Source: Rfam
CUUGAGGAAGCGUUUUGCCUACGUGGACAAAAAUCGCUCCCUUAAGGACGCGCUUUAUGUCCAAGUAGGCAAAACGCUUCCUCAAGG